Molecule: transfer RNA, 104 nt
Filed under: Testicularia cyperi
Lineage: Eukaryota; Fungi; Basidiomycota; Ustilaginomycetes; Ustilaginales; Anthracoideaceae
Description: tRNA-Glu
Rfam family: tRNA
About the family: Transfer RNA (tRNA) molecules are approximately 80 nucleotides in length. Their secondary structure includes four short double-helical elements and three loops (D, anti-codon, and T loops).
Source: RNAcentral
UCCUGGUUAGUACAAUGGUUAGUAUAGGACACUCUCAUGACACAGCUUCUGUCCACCCAGUAGCGCGGUCUGUUCAGAUCGGGGUUCGAUUCCCCGGCCGGGAA